This 2850-nucleotide unclassified non-coding RNA is filed under the name Leishmania donovani. Its description in RNAcentral is "gene:LdHU3.03.0820(CDS-product:TatD_related_DNase _putative)". Lineage: Eukaryota; Euglenozoa; Kinetoplastea; Trypanosomatida; Trypanosomatidae. The record is from RNAcentral.
UCUUGGAAGAGCCGAUGCGCAUCCGUGUGCACGACCAACAUACACUGAACCCUUACGGCCAUCACGAGCCCUGCUUGACUCGUGCCCUUGAGAGGACGAGUACGCCGGGGACGCAUCCAUGGGCUUCGUCGAUCGCGGAGGCGGCCGGGAGGCGAAGGGCGCGAGCCUGCGCCGAUCCAAGAACAACCCGGGUGCCCCCAUCUCGAAGAACAAGAGCGCCAAGAAGGACUACACGACCCCGGCCACACGCGCCACGCCAACGCCGCCACCCGCGUGCCUGCCGGUGCUGAAGGCCUUGAUCGCCGCCGCCUCGGCAGAGGCGGCCGCGAUGGAGGCUACGGCUGCAUCGACCGUGACUGGCUUCGAGAAGGCGCUUGCAGCCGUCCGCGAUGCUGCGCAGACCGGUGGAUCGCCCUACAUCGACGCCGCCGUGGCGCUGUUGUCACGCAAGCUGGAGGAGGAUCGAGAGGGCAUCUUUCGCCGGGCCGCCGAGGAAGGCAAGCUGGCCGCCGUGGUCUGCUGGUGUGGCGAGGUGGAGCGGCAGUCGCUGCUGCUGAGCACGUGUGUGCAGCACAACAAGCUUUACCGGGGAACUUUGGAGCAGCAGCAGCGCAGCGCCACCGGUGGUGAUGCCCGGCACGUGCACUUCAACGUCGACGGCGCCGUGGUUGCCUCCGUCACAGCCGCGGCGACGGCAUCGUCGUCGCCGGCAAAGGCCGGCAUUCUUCUGUACGCGGUGCUCGGCAUCCACGUCAACAGCAUCGACCGCGUGAACAUGCGACUGCAUGAUCAGUGGGUCAAGGAGCUCGAGGCUAACGUGAAGCACGGCGACGUUGUCGGCGUCCUCACGGGGCUGAACCUCAGUCGCGAGCACGGCACGCACUACGCGCAGGAGCGCCUGUUCAAGGAGUGCUGGCGUGUCGCGGCUGAGGUGCGUCUGCCGCUGGUGCUGCACCUGGGUGCAGCAGAUGCGGCAUCGCUCACGGAAACGGUGAACCGCGCCGUCAAGCUGCUCGACGAACUCCUCACCGCUACAUCAGCGACGGCAGACGGCGCCAGAGCCGCUCCGUCUGCAGUGGUGCUGCACAAUGGCUUGCUUGCCCUCCACGCCUCCACAGCGAUGCAGCAGCUUGUCCGUGCGCACCGCCCAGCAGCGAGGCCAACGGCGGUGUCUGUUCCGUUUUACGUACUGGCCACGGCGGACGGUCUGGCGGUGGCGAAGACAGAGGGCAGCGAAACUGAGGCGACAGCGACGGCCGACAGUGGGCCGUCGGUGGAGACGCUCGCAGCCUUGCUGCCUCCGCGUGCCGGGCUUGGCUCCGACUCUGACAGCGCCACCGCCAUCAGCAGCGGAGGAGACGCUGUCGUGCACCUCUCACAGCUUCUUAUCGGCACUGGUGCGCCCUGGGGCACGCCACAAAAUCUGCCAGACCCCUACCUCUGCACCCUGCCCAACGAGCCAGGAAACUACGCGUACGUUGUGCAGACGCUCUACGACGCGAUGCGGACACCACCACCACCGGCGGCGACGGCUGAGCUGACGCUCGCCGAUCUGUCGGCCAUCGCUGCCGUGAAUCAUCUGCUCGCCUUCUUCCACGAGUGCGUCUUGGAGCAGCAGCCGGUAGCCGUGGCUGGACUGGCCGACAGCGACGCCAAGCGCGAUCUGGAGGCGCUGCUGGCCGAGGCGGCGAAGGAACGGGAGCGGAUGGAGCAGGAGCGGCUGCGCGAGGAGGCGGCGCAAGCGCAGGCCCGCAGCGAGGAGCUGCAAGAGAAGCGCAGCAGGAGAGAGAGAAAGAAGAACGUGAAGUUGAAUAACCGGUCGAACUUCACGCACUUCCGCAACAAGGACUUUGCACCUCGGCAGAGCAAGCAGGAGAAGCUGGCGCAUCUGCGAGAGGUGGUCGGCACGGAUGUUGACGGCCGCGAGAGGUCGCCUUCGUCGUCAUCGGCGGCCUCCGACAGCGACAGCGACAGCGCCUGGGGGCCGAACAGCCUGGCGGCCCAGGUGGAGCGGCUGCUAGAGGCGAACGCUGCCCACCGCGAUCUGGAGUGCAGGGCGCAGCGGCAGCCAGCAGGCCGGGGCAAGGGGAAGGGUCAAAAUGCGUUGGCAGGGUCGAGGAAGAUGUGCAGCAGCGCAGACAUGAAGAGCGGCGGGCAGCCACAGCAGCAGCACGGCGCCCGUGCCGGCGGCAAGGUCAAGAACGGAAACCCCAGCGAUGGCAGCGAUGACGACGACGAACGAUACACGCGCACACGUGCGUUGUAGGCGAAUGCGUGCGCGUAUCGCUUCUGGCACGGAAGCAACGGAAGACGUGUAAUGUUUUGUGCAUGUGCCCAGCGCAGCGGCGGGGCUUUGGCAGCCGGUGCAGGGCGGGCAGGCAGGAGAGGUGCACGAGACCCGAUCGCGCGAACUGCUGCCUGCCCGCACAGCAGAUCCGUUGCCGGUGAGCCGCGUGGCGUCACAUCAGUGAUGAGUGCGCACGUACAUGUGUGUAAGUGUAACCGCCCCUCCCUCCGCAGCACGUGAGUCGACUGCAAUGAUAGGGCGGUGUCAAGCUGCUCGGCGCGCUUGAGUGUGCGCCUGGAUGAUCGUAGAGAGAGAAGGGGGGCGGGGGCGUGCGACCAUCGCUGCGGCGGUGGUCCCCUCGCCGCGCGGAGAGGGAGCAGUGGAGAGAUGUCUCCAUCUCCCGGGCACACCCCUCCUCUGCCGCGCAUCCGCACCCAGCAGCUGUGUGCCUUCUCUCGCACCACAGCCGUCUCACCAUCGCCACCUCCUCAACCCACCUCCCCAUCUGCCUCUGUGUCUGUGUGUGUGUGUGUGUGUGUGUGUGUGUGUACGGCGGUGCGCAG